GAACACCUGACCUGCAGUGCAGCAGAAUUCAGAGACAUGUAACUUAACGUACUCCAGAGACGCAAUAACUUGCACAGCAUUGAAUGGAAAAGGCUUUGUCCAUGUCCAGUUGAGGGGCAUCAAGAACACGCAGAUGGCCUA
Molecule: non-coding RNA, 141 nt
Organism: Danio rerio (zebrafish)
Lineage: Eukaryota; Metazoa; Chordata; Actinopteri; Cypriniformes; Danionidae
Source: RefSeq, a predicted model, not a curated record